GACGAACGCUGGCGGCGUGCUUUACACAUGCAAGUCGAACGAAGUGGCGAACGGGUGAGUAACGCGUAAUCAACCUGCCCUUCAGAGGGGGACAACACUCGGAAACGACUGCUAAUACCGCAUACUGAUGGAGGGGAUGGCGUCUGGUUAGCUAGCUGGAGGGGUAACGGGCCACCAAGGGGAUGAUCAGUAGCCGGGCUGGUAGGGUGAACGGGCAAAAUGGGCAUGGGAAACGGGCCAGACUCCUACGGGGGGCAGCAGUGGGGAAUCUUCCGCAAUGGAGGAAAGUCUGACGGAGCAACGCCGCGGGGGUGAUGACGGGCUUCGGGUUGUAAAGGUCUGUUAAGCGGGACGCGGUACCGGAAUAGAAAGCCACGGCUAACUACGUGCCAGCAGCCGCGGUAAUAC
RNAcentral lists this ribosomal RNA (408 nucleotides) under uncultured bacterium. RNAcentral describes it as "partial 16S ribosomal RNA". It matches the Rfam family "Bacterial small subunit ribosomal RNA", at positions 28 to 526 of the family's 1533-position model. The record is from RNAcentral.